AUAUAUAAAUAUACACAGAUGUGUGUAUGUAUGUGUGCGCGUGUGUCUGUAUGCAUGUAUGUAUGUUGAUGGGACAAAACGGGUUGAGAUAACAUUUUCAGCCAGCUUUAUUAUUUCUAGAGCAGGCAGAUACAUAUAUAAUAUACAUAUAUAUUAUGUCCCUAUAUAAAUAAAACAGCUAGUUGAAUUUUUUUUUAUCCCAACUCUUUUUGUCCCAAUAAGAAACACUUUCAACUCAAUUUUCAGUUCAUUUACAGCAUUGUUCCUCUUCAACACCCCCCUCCCCCCCAGUGAUUGCUCAAAAACCCAAACCUGAACAUUUGCAGCUGAAAAUACUUGCACUUGGUUUGUUUCUGGAAGUUUUGGAGGGGGGCGGAGGAGGGAAGAGAGUGUGUGGUGGGUUUUUUUUGUCAUGGAAAUACACACACACACAGAGUGAAAAUCUGACAAAAAAAAAUUGCGUUUGUUGUCAUUUUCAUGAGAAGAGAAAAUCAUUUUCUUCACCACUCCAUUGAACUAUUAUUUUAGUACCAUUAUUAUUUACUUAUUCAUUUGCUACUUGUACUCAGGGUCAAAGUAGCUGCACAAAAUGGCAUAACAGGGAGUACAUUUCCCUUGUCCCAUAGAAAUUGCAGUCUAAGGCAAUGAGUUUGCUGUUGAUUCAAUGCUCAUGGACAUUUAUGACUAUAGUUAGCACCAUACAUUUAUCAGGAUCUGAGCUGCACAGGAAAUAGAUAAUAAUCACGCAACCCUCUGAGUUUCUGGGGGAUUUCCAAGGUGGCAAUUUAAGUGAAGGGGACUCUACCCUCACCUGGAGUCAGUGAAACUCUAUAAACCACUACAUUGAUUUCAUGCUGGUGUCUCCCUUGAAGAGACCCAGCUGUUCUAUCUAAGGCUAAUUGAAUGGGGCAGGAAAGUAAAAGCAGCAAAAGAACUUGUGAGCAUUAGAGUCAAGGAAAGGGAGAAAAGAACACAAGUAAAAAGAUGGACUUUUAAUAACGAAUCUGUCUUAGACAUACUGAUUACUCACUUGAAGAGUUAAAAUACAUCCCCGAGGCCUUUGCUGUGGGCACUCAAGGAAAAGCAAAGGGCCAUUUGAGCAGAGUAGCUGAGUGGAAGGACCUAGGAAAGAGGCAGGUUAACACUGAAUUGCAUGCGUCAGUGGAUAAUGCACACUGGCUUGUGAAGGGUGAACAUAGCUUUUUGCUGUAGCUUUGGAACAGCUGUCCAGGUAACUUCUUUUGAAUUCUCUUUUAUUUUUCAUCUCACCAGCUGUAGCAUAUAUCGCCCUGCUCUGAGUUUUCCUCUAUUCCCUUCUGCAUCUGGCACAAGCCACGCUGGCAUUCUCUAAAGUGCACGUGUGUGUAUUUUUAACACGGACCUGGUGAACACUGGAAAUGAGGGUUUUAGAUUCAGAGCCUGCAGGCAACUGCCCAAGUACCAACAAAAACCUGUGUCCGCAACAGAGCACAAUCCGCUCAGUGCAUAUCCUCUUUAUGCAACAUCAAUUUCUGGAAAUCAAACUCCUUCAUGUAGCAAGGCCACACACUAGCUGCUUUGGUUUUCAAUAAGCUGUCUCAGUUCUCAGGCUGGCACAGUUGUAAUCUGAUGUUAUCAGGCACUGAAAAUGCUGCUGACUGGGAAAGGUCUAGAGGUAAGAGCAGGUGAGAGGGAGAAUCUGCUUUUUUUUUAUUCUCUGCUGUGCCAAAAAUGAGGCAGGAUCAAUUAAGGGAAGUCACAGAUUAACCAUUAGGGCUAAGUAUAAACAGUCAAAAACCCCAAGGCUGAAAUGAUUUAAUCUUCACAGGUUAGUCUAAACUGCAUUGAUUGAACUGAUAAGCUAGUGAACAGACAUUCACGUUUGAUUCUGGAAAAGCAGCCACAUGCCUGCAAUGGCCCAGGCUAGAAGUUGGGGAGGGCACUAGAGCACACCUCCCUGCUCAGCUGGAGCAGACAGCUAUGCCAAGCUUAGCUCACCCACCCUGCGAGGGGGGUUUACAGGGGAGGUGCAAAGCAUCCUGGGAUGCUGGGGGACUGAGUUAACUUGAAUCUGGAGGGGAUCUAGGACAGAAGUUCAAUAAACCAAUUUAACUUAAAUCAGAUGAGUCUGAUACUACAUCCAUCCAGGUUUAUCUUAUACUGAUUUUGAAAACGGUUUAUGUGCACUGAACUUCGUUGUGUUACAGAUUUGAAUGAGUUUCUGAUCAUUUAUACCAGUUUAUGUGUCAUUUCUGUUCCUAGCCUAGGUGCUUCAGUUUGUCUAUACAGUGAAUAUUCAUUCUUGCCAUGGUGCUGUAAGACUUAAUUAAUGAGAGAAAACCUCUGUAAUCCUGUAGUCAAUGUAAUAAAAACAGCCAUAAUUUAAAGGGCCUAUAAAUGCCCCAAAUAGUCAAAUUGCAGGAUUACCCAAAAGGCAUAUUGGGAAUUAUAGCUACACAUUUAACAACUAGAACUAUAGAUAAGUGGAUGAGCUCAUCUGAAGUAAAAAUGUCUUUUUAUUUUAAGAUUUAAAUAUUUGAUAAACCCUUCUUCCCUUCUCUAUUUGAAUAUGUUACUACAAGUUCUGCGUACAAACUUAUAGCCUUGUGUUUUAAGCCAUAAACUAGGUAAUUUCUAUUAGUGUUUUCUCCAUUGAUUUUCAUUAACUUUUGGGUUUUGAAAGAUUAAAAUGGCAUUGCCAUUUGGUAUUGCCAAAAGUCAGAAACUCAAAUUAGGGAUCUAUGCAAAGUUUGGGGACUGCUUAUGCUGGAGAAAGCACUCAGAAUCAAAGUCCUAUUUACAGAGAUUUUAGAACAUAUGUUUCUGUUGCCUGUAUAUAAAAUGUAUAGAGACUAAUCUUUGUUUCUUUAAAUGUGAAUCUCCAGCUGUGUGAAUGUACUAGAUGUUCCUGAACAUAUCUGAAGGACUGAAGCUUACUUUCUAAAGGGUAAUGUUACUGUAGCCAAGGUGAAUGUAACUGGAAUUUUUACUUGAACAAUUGUGCUGGUCUCGGGCUAUGAAAAGAUUAAACUAAAACGUGCAUACGCUCCUAGCCACCAGCAUGGUUUGAACCUGGGGACUCCAGUGUUAGCAGUCACUGACAUUUGCUAAGGAAAGUAAGCUUUCAACCUUUUACUACUUCUACAAUGGGGACAGAGGAACUAGGAGUCCCAUUCUGCCAGUUUAGGUCACAUCUGCACAAUGUCAGUCUAACAAAAGUCCUCAAAGUCCUGAUAAAAGUACAGUGGGGCAUGAGAUAAUGGCUUGCUCUCUUCUUAGGGUUAAAUUUCACUUAAAGCUCCUUGGUGUUCUUCAUGGGACUCCGAUAACGAUAUGGUGGCCCUGAAAAUAUUUAUUCCACAAGUUAUCAUUGAACUGUAGUGCAUCGCAUGGACAGCAAGGGUAACGCACACGUGACACUAUGGGGUAAUCUAAUGUAAAGUGAAGAAUGAGUAGUUGUCAGAAUGCCCAGCACUUGCACAUACAUUUUCAUCCAAAGGUAUGUGAGCUUCACUCUACCAUUUUUGGUAUGGGGAAACAAAGGCAUAAAGAUAGAUACAGAGAAGAUCCUGGGGAAAAUUCUUGGUAGAAUAGGGAUAAUGAUAUUGACUUUGGAUGGAGAGACCUAAAAAUGAAAAACACCCUGAAAAAUCUAGGUAUUAUUCUUAUUUCAUUCUGUGAAUUAAAUUUUCCAAUAGAUGAUUCAAGAUCAGCCAUCUCGGCCCUAGUCCUGGUUCCCAUGUGUGCAUUAGAAGUGAUCUGGAGUUCAGUCUUUGAAUCUGCAGCGGUCCCCUGAUGGUGAGGUGCAUAUUCCCCGAGUGGCCUUGGACUAGUCACUUAAUUGCUUUGUGACUUAAGAAGUUCCUGGGAUACAUAAUGGGGCUAAGAUUUCCUUCUUUGUCUGCCUUGUCUAUUUAGGGCAUGAGCUCUUCGGAGUGGCAAUGGUUUUUUCUUAUGAUUAUGCAUGGUACCUCAAUGAGGUUGUGCUCUUCCUUGAAGCACACGGUGUAACACAAAUUAAUAAUAAUAAUCCCAAUAUGAAUAAAAGUCCAUACAUGGAGACACUUGGUCUGACCUAGGUUCACCGGAAACCUGGUGAGAGACUUUGGCUUGGGGAAUAUUUGGACAUGCACAGUCCAUCACCUCAGCAGGGGAUGAUGGGUGUAGGCCUGUCAGUGCAAAGCUUCUCUUUAAACCCAGCCCUCCAUACUUUCUCCUCCAUGUAGGUCAGCAGGACUAAUUUGCUGAGGCCUGGGAGAUUUGCCACUCAAAAUAUGCAAUACAAAAAACAAAAUAAUACAGCUUGAAAACCAAAAGAUGAAAUGUUGCAGGUGGAGGAAGAAAAAGCAAAGAAAAUCUGCUCAGACAGAGAGACAAAACAAGCAACUGCUUACGGGACUUGGCAGCAAAUGGAGCUGCCCCCAGCAACACCCCCCUCCCUUCUAUUCAGAGUCUAGUUCAGUAUGUACUGAUGGUGGAUCGCAGUACCAGCUAUGCGGAGAUUCAGGCAGACACUUCUGUCUCACCAGCUGCUCUGAAAAAUCCAUGUUCAUAGUGAAGCACAAGGGGAAGCAAAUCUAUGAGAUGGAGCUCGUGGUCACAGAACGAAAGCCCUGUGCCUUCCCCAGUUCCCCCCUCCAACAGCACCGCUCUCAACUCACAGCAUCAGCAUGGGGUUGUCAAGAACAAUCUCCAGGGCUGCUGAGUGAUUUGCCCUAAAAUAUACAGUAGUUGCAGCCCUCACUGUUUCUAGCUGGGCUCCUAUCAGGACUCAUAAGCUAAGCAGUGUCAGCUGAGGUCAGCACUUGAAUAGGAGACUACUACAGGACAACCCAGGGUGCUGGAGGAAUAGUGGUGUGGGAUGAUUUGGUAACUGGUGCCCAUCUUUCUGGAUCUGUAUUGAGCCGAUACCUCUCUGUGCGCUGAUGGAUACACCACCUUCUAGCUGUGAUGUUGAAGUGGAACCUAUAGAUUCCUUGUCACUGUUGUAAAAAGAAAUGGUGUAAAUCUUGUAUUAUGGCCAAAUAAGGUGAAAUCUGGAUACCAAGAGUCUAUUCACCUGCAUUGUGCAUAUUUCUAGAUCUCAUUCAUUUCCUAUCAAAAGCUGUUACAUCACACUGCACUUCCAGGAUGCUGGUGCGAAUCACCCUAGAUAGAGCUGCAUUUCAGUGCUCGAAGAGUGAAUCUUUGCAUAUAGUUCAUACAAACAGAAACACUUGUAAAGCACUUGGGAAUCCAUCUGGCUGAAAAGUGCUAUAUAUAAAAGCAGGAUCAUUAUCACCAAAAACAAAUUCAGUAUGGUGUUUCUCUCACAUUUUUUCUUAAUUUCAGUGAACCAGUUCUUUAUAAUGAAUAAUUUCCAUUGGAAGACUUUGUUUUUCCUGUAACAUAAAGCUCCUUGGUCUGGUUUUCAUUAGCCUUGCAAUGAAUUAGCCAAGCGGGCUUUUCCUUUCAGUUUGGUUGGGAAAGUACCAUUGGUAUGUGUCUGCCUUUUUGUGGGAAAGUGGAUUUUUUCUUAUUAUGAUUUUCAGUUUGGUUUGCAAUGUGUUAAGAGAGCCUUGAGAUGACAAUCACGAAUUGUGCUGUUCAAAAGUUCAUCUAUAUGCUGCUGUGCUGCUAGUAAAUCCACAGUUUCUAUGGUGUACCAUUAGCUGCAGUUUUCAUGGGACCUAAAGAAACUGUGUGUGUGUAACAUAUAUAAAAUAAAAAAUGGUUAGUGACCUUACCGUCA
Long non-coding RNA from Alligator mississippiensis (American alligator), 5710 nucleotides. RefSeq lists it as uncharacterized. The record is from RefSeq and is a predicted model, not a curated record. NCBI's taxonomy places the organism in Eukaryota, Metazoa, Chordata, Crocodylia, Alligatoridae. The transcript is spliced from 2 exons.